RNAcentral lists this ribosomal RNA (396 nucleotides) under uncultured soil bacterium. RNAcentral's name for it is "bacterial SSU rRNA". It matches the Rfam family "Bacterial small subunit ribosomal RNA", at positions 26 to 430 of the family's 1533-position model. The record is from RNAcentral.
AGAUUGAACGCUGGCGGCAUGCCUAACACAUGCAAGUCGAACGGGAGUAGCAAUACUCUAGUGGCGGACGGGUGAGGAAUACGUAGGAAUUUGCCCUUAAGUGGGGGAUAACCCGGGGAAACCCGGAUUAAUACCGCAUGACCUCGAAAGAGCAAAGUGGGGGAUCGCAAGACCUCACGCUUUUGGAGAAGCCUACGUCGGAUUAGCUAGUUGGUGAGGUAAUGGCUCACCAAGGCGACGAUCCGUAACUGGUCUGAGAGGAUGAUCAGUCACACCGGAACUGAGACACGGUCCGGACUCCUACGGGAGGCAGCAGUGGGAAUAUUGGAACAAGUGGGCGCAAGCCUGAUCGAGCAAUGCCGACGUGUGUAGAAGAAGGUCCGUUCGGUAGUUAAA